UNACACAUGCAGUCGAGGGGUAUUGGUUUUCGGACCAAGAGACCGGCGCACGGGUGCGUAACGCGUAUGCAAUCUACCUUUUACAGAGGGAUAGCCCAGAGAAAUUUGGAUUAAUACCUCAUAGUAUUACGACUCGGCAUCGAGAUGUAAUUAAAGUCACAACGGUAAAAGAUGAGCAUGCGUCCCAUUAGCUUGUUGGUAAGGUAACGGCUUACCAAGGCAACGAUGGGUAGGGGUCCUGAGAGGGAGAUCCCCCACACUGGUACUGAGACACGGACCAGACUCCUACGGGAGGCAGCAGUGAGGAAUAUUGGUCAAUGGGCGCAAGCCUGAACCAGCCAUGCCGCGUGCAGGAUGAAGCAUCUAUGGUGUGUAAACUGCUUUUGUACGAGAAGAAACACUACUUCGUGAAGUAGCUUGACGGUAUCGUAAGAAUAAGGACCGGCUAACUCCGUGCCAGCAGCCGCGGUAAUACGGAGGGUCCAAGCGUUAUCCGGAAUCAUUGGGUUUAAAGGGUCCGUAGGCGGUUUUGUAAGUCAGUGGUGAAAGCCCAUCGCUCAACGGUGGAACGGCCAUUGAUACUGCAAGACUUGAAUUAUUAGGAAGUAACUAGAAUAUGUAGUGUAGCGGUGAAAUGCUUAGAGAUUACAUGGAAUACCAAUUGCGAANGGCAGGUUANCUACUAAUGGAUUGACGCUGAUGGACGAAAGCGUGGGUAGCGAACAGGAUUAGAUACCCUGGUAGUCCACGCCGUAAACGAUGGAUACUAGCUGUUCGGAGCAAUCUGAGUGGCUAANCGAAAGUGAUAAGUAUCCCACCUGGGGGAGUACGUUCGCAAGAAUGAAACUCAAAGGAAUUGACGGGGGCCCGCACAAGCNGGUGGAGCAUGUGGUUUAAUUCGAUGAUACGCGAGGAACCUUACCAAGGCUUAAAUGUAGAUUGACCGGUUUGGAAACAGAUCUUUCGCAAGACAAUUUACAAGGUGCUGCAUGGUUGUCGUCAGCUCGUGCCGUGAGGUGUCAGGUUAAGUCCUAUAACGAGCGCAACCCCUGUCGUUAGUUGCCAGCGAGUCAUGUCGGGAACUCUAACGAGACUGCCAGUGUAAACUGUGAGGAAGGUGGGGAUGACGUCAAAUCAUCACGGCCCUUACGCCUUGGGCUACACACGUGCUACAAUGGCCGGUACAGAGAGCAGCCACUGGGCGACCAGGAGCGAAUCUAUAAAACCGGUCACAGUUCGGAUCGGAGUCUGCAACUCGACUCCGUGAAGCUGGAAUCGCUAGUAAUCGGAUAUCAGCCAUGAUCCGGUGAANNCGUUCCCGGGCCUUGUACACANNNNNNGNCAAGCCAUGGAAGCUGGGGGUGCCUGAAGUCGNGACCGCAAGAGC
RNAcentral lists this ribosomal RNA (1387 nucleotides) under uncultured bacterium. RNAcentral describes it as "bacterial SSU rRNA". It matches the Rfam family "Bacterial small subunit ribosomal RNA". The record is from RNAcentral.